GACGUAGGGCGCGAGCGUUGUCCGGAUUUAUUGGGCGUAAAGAGCUCGUAGGCGGCUUGUCGCGUCGUCCGUGAAAACCUGGGGCUCAACUCCAGGCUUGUGGUCGAUACGGGCAGGCUAGAGUUCGGUAGGGGAGACUGGAAUUCCUGGUGUAGCGGUGAAAUGCGCAGAUAUCAGGAGGAACACCGGUGGCGAAGGCGGGUCUCUGGGCCGAUACUGACGCUGAGGAGCGAAAGCGUGGGGAGCGAACAGG
RNAcentral lists this ribosomal RNA (253 nucleotides) under uncultured bacterium. Its description in RNAcentral is "partial 16S ribosomal RNA". It matches the Rfam family "Bacterial small subunit ribosomal RNA", at positions 524 to 776 of the family's 1533-position model. The record is from RNAcentral.